UGCAAGUCGAACGAUGAACCACUUCGGUGGGGAUUAGUGGCGAACGGGUGAGUAACACGUGGGCAAUCUGCCCUUCACUCUGGGACAAGCCCUGGAAACGGGGUCUAAUACCGGAUGAUACUUCUGCUCGCAUGGGUGGGGGUUGAAAGCUCCGGCGGUGAAGGAUGAGCCCGCGGCCUAUCAGCUUGUUGGUGAGGUAGUGGCUCACCAAGGCGACGACGGGUAGCCGGCCUGAGAGGGCGACCGGCCACACUGGGACUGAGACACGGCCCAGACUCCUACGGGAGGCAGCAGUGGGGAAUAUUGCACAAUGGGCGAAAGCCUGAUGCAGCGACGCCGCGUGAGGGAUGACGGCCUUCGGGUUGUAAACCUCUUUCAGCAGGGAAGAAGCGAAAGUGACGGUACCUGCAGAAGAAGCGCCGGCUAACUACGUGCCAGCAGCCGCGGUAAUACGUAGGGCGCAAGCGUUGUCCGGAAUUAUUGGGCGUAAAGAGCUCGUAGGCGGUCUGUCGCGUCGGAUGUGAAAGCCCGGGGCUUAACCCCGGGUCUGCAUUCGAUACGGGCAGACUAGAGUGUGGUAGGGGAGAUCGGAAUUCCUGGUGUAGCGGUGAAAUGCGCAGAUAUCAGGAGGAACACCGGUGGCGAAGGCGGAUCUCUGGGCCAUUACUGACGCUGAGGAGCGAAAGCGU
This 689-nucleotide ribosomal RNA is filed under the name Streptomyces sp. YIM 65626. RNAcentral's name for it is "bacterial SSU rRNA". It matches the Rfam family "Bacterial small subunit ribosomal RNA", at positions 56 to 762 of the family's 1533-position model. The record is from RNAcentral. Lineage: Bacteria; Bacillati; Actinomycetota; Actinomycetes; Kitasatosporales; Streptomycetaceae.